RNAcentral lists this ribosomal RNA (350 nucleotides) under uncultured Polaromonas sp. Its description in RNAcentral is "bacterial SSU rRNA". It matches the Rfam family "Bacterial small subunit ribosomal RNA", at positions 1031 to 1382 of the family's 1533-position model. Lineage: Bacteria; Pseudomonadati; Pseudomonadota; Betaproteobacteria; Burkholderiales; Comamonadaceae. The record is from RNAcentral.
AACACAGGUGCUGCAUGGCUGUCGUCAGCUCGUGUCGUGAGAUGUUGGGUUAAGUCCCGCAACGAGCGCAACCCUUGUCAUUAGUUGCUACAUUCAGUUGGGCACUCUAAUGAGACUGCCGGUGACAAACCCGGAGGAAGGUGGGGAUGACGUCAAGUCCUCAUGGCCCUUAUAGGUGGGGCUACACACGUCAUACAAUGGAUGGUACAAAGGGUCGCCAACCCGCGAGGGGGAGCCAAUCCCAUAAAGCCAUUCGUAGUCCGGAUCGCAGUCUGCAACUCGACUGCGUGAAGUCGGAAUCGCUAGUAAUCGUGGAUCAGAAUGUCACGGUGAAUACGUUCCCGGGUCUU